This 773-nucleotide long non-coding RNA is filed under the name Rattus norvegicus (Norway rat). RNAcentral's name for it is "long non-coding RNA NONRATT019036". Lineage: Eukaryota; Metazoa; Chordata; Mammalia; Rodentia; Muridae. The record is from RNAcentral.
UCCAUCCUUGUUCUCCUGUGGACCAUGGGGUCCCCUCCUGGGUCCUGGUCUUGUUGCUGACACUGGGUCUGUGCAGCCUGCAGGCUACAGCCGACAGCGUUCUAGACCCUGACUUUCGUGAGAAUUACUUUGAGCAGUACAUGGACCAUUUCAACUUUGAGAGUUUCAGCAACAAGACCUUUGGCCAGCGGUUCCUGGUGUCAGGUGAGUGCUGGCCCCACAGCAUGGUCCUUACCUGCUUAUCCCUGGCCUUACAGAGACCCAUUUACUUCCCACAGAUAAGUUCUGGAAGAUGGGCGAGGGGCCCAUUUUCUUCUACACAGGGAAUGAGGGGGAUAUCUGGUCCCUCGCUAACAACUCUGGCUUCAUAGUGGAACUGGCAGCCCAGCAGGAGGCCCUGCUGGUCUUUGCUGAGCAUGUAGGUACCAGGGCACUUCCUGAGCUGAGGGAGGUGGGGAACACAGAGGCAGCGGUUAGCCAUCGCUUCCUUCUUCCUGCAGCGGUAUUAUGGGAAAUCGCUUCCAUUCGGUGUGCAGUCCACACAGCGGGGAUACACACAGCUGCUGACUGUGGAGCAGGCGCUGGCUGACUUCGCCGUGCUGCUCCAGGCCCUGCGGCACAAUCUUGGGGUCCAGGAUGCCCCCACCAUAGCCUUUGGAGGGAGGUGGGUCCUUGAUAUCCCUUCAGGACAGAUCUGUCCCCACAGGAGAUCCUAGAGUCCUACUUACGCCACUCUCAUGGCCCCAAGUGGCACCCUAUAUAAGGAGGGCCAA